CCUACGGGAGGCUGCAGUGAGGAAUAUUGGUCAAUGGACGCAAGUCUGAACCAGCCAUGCCGCGUGCAGGAAGACGGCUCUAUGAGUUGUAAACUGCUUUUGUAUGAGGGCAAACGGCGAUACGCGUAUCUCUCUGAAAGUAUCGUACGAACAAGGAUCGGCCAACUCCGUGCCAGCAGCCGCGGUAAUACGGAGGAGUCAACCGUUAUCCGGAUUGAUUGGGUUUAAAGGGGGCGUAGGCGGUCGGGUAAGUUAGGGGUGAAAUCCCGGGGCUCAACUUCGGAACUGCCUUCGAUACUGGUAGGCUAGAGGGUGGUAGGGGUAGGAGGAAUGUCAGGUGUAGCGGUGAAAUGCUUAGAGAUCAUACAGAACACCGAUUGCGAAGGCAGCUUACCAGGCAACGACUGACGUUGAGGCACGAAAGCGUGGGGAGCAAACAGGAUUAGAUACCCCGGUAGUC
RNAcentral lists this ribosomal RNA (460 nucleotides) under uncultured bacterium. Its description in RNAcentral is "partial 16S ribosomal RNA". It matches the Rfam family "Bacterial small subunit ribosomal RNA", at positions 338 to 795 of the family's 1533-position model. The record is from RNAcentral.